RNAcentral lists this ribosomal RNA (425 nucleotides) under uncultured bacterium. Its description in RNAcentral is "bacterial SSU rRNA". It matches the Rfam family "Bacterial small subunit ribosomal RNA", at positions 355 to 771 of the family's 1533-position model. The record is from RNAcentral.
UGGGGAAUAUUGGACAAUGGGCGAAAGCCUGAUCCAGCAACGCCGCGUGGAGGAAGAAGGUCUUCGGAUCGUAAACUCCUGUCAGAUGGGACGAAAAGACGGCGGUGAAUAGCCGACCGUCGCUGACGGUACCAUCAGAGGAAGCCCCGGCUAACUCCGUGCCAGCAGCCGCGGUAAUACGGAGGGGGCUAGCGUUAUUCGGAAUUAUUGGGCGUAAAGCGCGCGUAGGCGGCCAGGUAAGUCAUGGGUGAAAUCCCUCGGCUCAACCGAGGAAUUGCCUUUGAAACUACCUGGCUCGAGGCCGGGAGGGGGUAGCGGAAUUCCCAGUGUAGCGGUGAAAUGCGUAGAUAUUGGGAGGAACACCGGUGGCGAAGGCGGCUACCUGGACCGGUUCUGACGCUGAUGCGCGAAAGCGUGGGGAGCAA